Dermacentor silvarum is the source of this 297-nucleotide long non-coding RNA. RefSeq lists it as uncharacterized. NCBI's taxonomy places the organism in Eukaryota, Metazoa, Arthropoda, Arachnida, Ixodida, Ixodidae. The transcript has 2 exons. The record is from RefSeq and is a predicted model, not a curated record.
UCACCUCGAAAAAAAUCAAAUACAAUGCACAGACAUUCCUAUACAAUGUCAGCACUAACAUGGCACUGCAUUGUACAAGCACAUAAUAUGAGAAAACAUUCUAGCUUGUUUUUCUCUUGAUUUGUGUGAAAACCAUUACAUUCAUGUGCCCUCAAUUUAUAUGAAUUUUGCGAUUGUAAAAUGUUGCAAAAUUUAAGGACAUGCAAAGUAUUUAGGAAGUAAAUGUGGACAAUAAGCUGAUGCAUCCCUUGGACAAGUAUGCAAAGUAAAAGGCUAAACAGAUUGCACUGUUUCAAG